This 429-nucleotide ribosomal RNA is filed under the name uncultured bacterium. RNAcentral describes it as "bacterial SSU rRNA". It matches the Rfam family "Bacterial small subunit ribosomal RNA", at positions 355 to 776 of the family's 1533-position model. The record is from RNAcentral.
UUAGGAAUAUUCGUCAAUGGAGGAAACUCUGAACGAGCAAUGCCGCGUGAGUGAUGACGGUCUUUAUGAUUGUAAAACUCUGUUGUUGGGGACGAACCCCUAUCAUAGGUAAUGAUGAUAGGCUGACGGUACCCUUCCAGAAAGCCCCGGCUAACUACGUGCCAGCAGCCGCGGUAAUACGUAGGGGGCGAGCGUUAUCCGGAUUUAUUGGGCGUAAAGCGUGUGUAGGCGGUUUGUUAAGUCUGAGAUUAAAGCCCGAGGCUCAACCUCGGUUCGUUUCAGAAACUGGCAGACUUGAGUGUGGUAGAGGCAAGUGGAAUUUCUAGUGUAGCGGUUAAAUGCGUAGAUAUUAGAAGGAACACCAGUGGCGAAGGCGGCUUGCUGGGCCAUUACUGACGCUGAGACACGAAAGCGUGGGGAGCAAAUAGG